UUUUCAUUUCUUCUUUCUCUACUUAAACUCUAUUUUGUUUCUGAACAAAACAUUCACCUUUUUUUUAUCAAAAAUCUCUCUAAAUUAUAUGAAUCCCUUGAUCAUCAUUGAACACUGAUUGCUAAAGAGUUCAUUCUUUGAUUGCAAACAUGUCUUUGAUUGAAAUCAGAGUUUAUUUUCUUGAUCAAAGACUCAUCUACACAAGUGUUUACCAGUUCAUAGAUUCUCACUGAAGUUCAUCAUCCAUUUCGACAUCAUCCACAAUUCCAUCAUCAUAUAUCCUUCAAACCAUCAGAUCAUCCUUCAAAAGAAUCAGGGACAAACGAAUCCUUCUAAAUCAGGGGUUCAUCUGGUGGUAUCAGAGCAGAUUUGAAGGCUCUUGAUCUAGGGUUUGAAUCUAAACUUUUCGAAUUACCUCUUAAUUUUGGGAACCUUGUAUUGAUCUGUAUGUUUCUUUGAAUCUGUUUCGUUCUCUUUUCUGUCUAUCUGUUGAAUCUGCAAGAGGCCAACCAGUAAUAAAAAAAGCUCAUAGAAAAGUCAAGGAGAAAUCCGACUUAGGCUAAAGAGAAAUCCAGCCCUGGUGAUAAAGCCUUUUGCAAACAAAAAAUCUUGCAAUCUGGCUAUCUUCUCUUCUCUUUUGGGGUGGGGGAUUUUAUCUCAAAAGCUUGAUCUUUAUUCUUUGCUGAGCUAUUGGAUUCACAAAAGAAAACUCACAGAAAAAUUAGAGAGAAACAUAAGAGAGUAGUGAGGCUUUGGCUAUUUUUGUUAUUCUAACUUUUCUUGUUGAGAUUGUAAUAGGAAACCAUGGCUGGAGAUGUCAAUAAAAGAAAGGAGGCACCAAUGACUUUUAAUAAAUUGUAGAUGGAAGCAAUAGUGUCUGAGAUCAUUAAAAGAAUGGAAAAGACUGUUUUUUUUUUCAAUAGAAACAUGCUAAUGAUUUCUUUGGUAAUGUUUCUCAGGUUCAGAAAGAUGCUAAUGACAAAAGGAGGAGUAGAAUACCAUCUUUUUGUAGUUACAGGAAGCAAGAAGGUUAGAUUGGCUACAUCAAAGUUCUGUGGUGAUGCCAUUCAAUGGUGGGAUCAGCUUGUUACUAACAGAAAAAGGACAGGAGAAGCACAAGUUGCAUCGUGGUUUGAGCUUAAACACUUCAUGAAGAAAAACUUUGUUCUUGUAACUACAGCAUAAGACAUCCGAGACAAACCAACGAAGAGACCAGACUUUUCCAUAAUUGUGAUCAGCCUAGAAAGUCUUAGUCACAUAAGCUAAGAAGACCAACCCCACGUUCUCUCGAGAGAGCCAAUGAGCCACUGUACUCUAAGAAGGAAUCAGCUAUCCAAGAGCUGAAAACAGAGCCAUCUAAGUGGCCUUCUUUCAGUGUCUCAUAUCGUAGGAGAGAACUCAGCAGAAGAAGCACAAAAGAGUUCACCACCAGAAGAAGUGUUGGAGCAGCCAGAUAAGCAGAAACAUAUGCUAAGUCUUUCUCUUCGGACGCUCAAGAGCACUGUAAGGAUCUUGAUAUGGUUAAUUCUAUUCCUGAAAUGGUUGUUAUGGUUAGUUCCAGUGAUGUAAAAUGUUUCGGUCUUGAAAAUGUGAAAGAGUUUUGUGUUUCAAACUCUGUUUUUUGAUAACAUGAUACAUUCUUUUAAGAAACUUAAACCAUAUAAACUUCUUGAUCAAAAACGUUUUUCAUGUGGUAGUGACAUCAAUCCUGGUUUUCUUUUGAGUUUUGGUCAGUUUUUGGAACAUAACAAAAGCCUUGAUCACCUUGAAAAGACAUUAGAGGUUGUUCUGCAACAACCUGAUUUCUGUUUCAGAAAACCUUGAGAUUUAUUUGCUUGCUUAAAGAUAAUGGCUUUGAUCUGAGUCUUUCUAGGCAUGAACUUAUCAUUGAUGAUUUGUUUCCAUCUGUUUAUGCCUUGAACAAACCUAUGAAGUUGCAGGAACCGAAAUCACUUAGGGCCGAAACUGAAUUUCUUUAUAAUUUUGUUUUGAAACCUGUUCAUUCUUGUUCUUAAAAUGAUAAAUCUUGGUUUUUAUGGGAUCAUUCUUGCAGAAUGAUGUUGUCUUGAGCUUUGAUGAUAUAUUAGUGUACAACACAUUCUUUGAAAAUCAUGCUAAACCUGAGAGACAUGUGCUAACAGAUCUUGAACUUAAACUUUUGUGUUUUGUAUCUGAUCAAGUUGGACACGUUUUGGAGAUGAUCUAUGGUAUUUCAUGCCUUGGAAACAUUCUGGUUUGCAACACUUUCUUUGUUUAUUAUACUGAGCCUUGGUUAAGUAAUUCUCAGUUUGAACUUGAUCUUUUGAGUUCUGAAUCUGAGGAACUUGUGCUUGUUCUGAAAUUGUUCUUUAGGAACUAUGCUAUCUCGUGCUUUGAUACCAUGGUCUACAAUACUUACUUUGAUGUGCAUUUUGAAUGUCUGAAACAAGCACAACAUGUUCUUAGAAAGAAACACUUGGUUAUUGAUCAUAAUAAGAACAUGUCUUGCCUAUAUGACACUGGAUAUCUAGUCUCUGUUUUGAGUGUCCAGGAUCAAUAUGUUCAAUCUCAAAGGAGUGUAAGGAACGAGAGCAAACACUAUGCUUAUCAACCUGAGAUUUGGAGAUGGAAGUACUUGAGGAAAAUGGCUUCAAAACUCCAAGGAAGUUUCUGUUCAAAACCUUAGUUUGAUGUUGAUUUCAUGCUUAUUUUCUUGAUCAUUUGUCUCGCUUCUUACUUGUUUCCUUUUGAUGUAGGAGAUACAGAUUUGAGGACAAAUCUUUUCAAAGGAGGACGGGAUGAUGUAACCAUGGUUGAACCAGAUGACUAUGCAACAAAGGAUAAACAAGGAUGGCUGAAUGUAAAGCUUGAAGAUGAACCUGAGGCUUGAGUGGAGCAUGAUGAGCUUAUUUCUCACUCAAGUGACUAAGAACAUGUAAAACAAGCUGUAAAAGAUGUGAUCAGAACGAGUUUAGACUUUUCUCAGCCCAAAAGAAGACCACAAACCAAAAAUAUUGAAGGAAGCAAUGACUUGUUUGGUUUA
Long non-coding RNA from Brassica oleracea var. oleracea, 3022 nucleotides. RefSeq lists it as uncharacterized. The record is from RefSeq and is a predicted model, not a curated record. Lineage: Eukaryota; Viridiplantae; Streptophyta; Magnoliopsida; Brassicales; Brassicaceae. The transcript has 2 exons.